AUUGAACGCUGGCGGCAUGCCUUACACAUGCAAGUCGAACGGCAGCACGGGAGCAAUCCUGGUGGCGAGUGGCGAACGGGUGAGUAAUAUAUCGGAACGUGCCCAGUCGUGGGGGAUAACGUAGCGAAAGCUACGCUAAUACCGCAUACGAUCUACGGAUGAAAGCGGGGGAUCGCAAGACCUCGCGCGAUUGGAGCGGCCGAUAUCAGAUUAGCUAGUUGGUGGGGUAAAAGCUCACCAAGGCGACGAUCUGUAGCUGGUCUGAGAGGACGACCAGCCACACUGGAACUGAGACACGGUCCAGACUCCUACGGGAGGCAGCAGUGGGGAAUUUUGGACAAUGGGCGCAAGCCUGAUCCAGCAAUGCCGCGUGCAGGAUGAAGGCCUUCGGUUGUAAACUGCUUUGUACGGUAACGAAACGGUAGAGCUCUAAUAAAGACUCGCUAACUGACGGUACCGUAAGAAUAAGACACCGGCUAACUACGUGCC
This 489-nucleotide ribosomal RNA is filed under the name uncultured bacterium. Its description in RNAcentral is "bacterial SSU rRNA". It matches the Rfam family "Bacterial small subunit ribosomal RNA", at positions 30 to 509 of the family's 1533-position model. The record is from RNAcentral.